AAUAUUUACAUCACAAAUGAAAUAAUUUAGUGCCCUUAGUUACCACAAGUAAAUUGUGUAACAUUGAAAAGUAAUGUUAACAAGAAUGUGAAUAAUAUUUAAAUAAUAUGUAACGAAAAGUAAAUAACACACAUGAUAUUUUUUCAUACCCGUGAGUAUCUCAUGGGAAAAUCAACUAUAUUAACAACAUUGCAUUGUACCAUACUAAGAUCUUGUGGUGAUUAACCUCUACAGAUUGACUGC
This 243-nucleotide long non-coding RNA is filed under the name Salvia miltiorrhiza (redroot sage). RNAcentral's name for it is "long non-coding RNA (SMIL_LNC012280)". The record is from RNAcentral. Lineage: Eukaryota; Viridiplantae; Streptophyta; Magnoliopsida; Lamiales; Lamiaceae.